UACGUAGGGUGCGAGCGUUGUCCGGAAUUAUUGGGCGUAAAGGGCUCGUAGGCGGUUUGUCGCGUCGGGAGUGAAAUCAUCUGGCUUAACUGGGUGCUUGCUUUCGAUACGGGCAGACUAGAGGUAUGCAGGGGAGAACGGAAUUCCUGGUGUAGCGGUGAAAUGCGCAGAUAUCAGGAGGAACACCGGUGGCGAAGGCGGUUCUCUGGGCAGUAACUGACGCUGAGGAGCGAAAGCGUGGGGAGCGAACAGG
This 253-nucleotide ribosomal RNA is filed under the name uncultured bacterium. RNAcentral describes it as "partial 16S ribosomal RNA". It matches the Rfam family "Bacterial small subunit ribosomal RNA", at positions 524 to 776 of the family's 1533-position model. The record is from RNAcentral.